UAGGGAAUCUUCCGCAAUGGGCGAAAGCUUGACGGAGCAACGCCGCGUGAGUGAUGAAGGUCUUCGGAUCGUAAAACUCUGUUAUUAGGGAAGAACAAAUGUGUAAGUAACUAUGCACGUCUUGACGGUACCUAAUCAGAAAGCCACGGCUAACUACGUGCCAGCAGCCGCGGUAAUACGUAGGUGGCAAGCGUUAUCCGGAAUUAUUGGGCGUAAAGCGCGCGUAGGCGGUUUUUUAAGUCUGAUGUGAAAGCCCACGGCUCAACCGUGGAGGGUCAUUGGAAACUGGAAAACUUGAGUGCAGAAGAGGAAAGUGGAAUUCCAUGUGUAGCGGUGAAAUGCGCAGAGAUAUGGAGGAACACCAGUGGCGAAGGCGACUUUCUGGUCUGUAACUGACGCUAAUGUGCGAAAGCGUGGGGAUCAAACAGG
Molecule: ribosomal RNA, 429 nt
Filed under: Actinomycetes bacterium
Lineage: Bacteria; Bacillati; Actinomycetota; Actinomycetes
Description: Actinobacteria bacterium partial 16S ribosomal RNA
Rfam family: Bacterial small subunit ribosomal RNA
Source: RNAcentral